UAGAUGCGAGAGUAGAGCAUAUCAAUAAGCGGAGGAAAAGAAACUAACAAGGAUUCCCUUAGUAACGGCGAGUGAAGCGGGAAGAGCUCAAAUUUGAAAUCUUCAAGGUUCUACCUUGACGAAUUGUAGUUUAUAGAAGUGUUUUCUGUUAGUGGAGUGGCAAAAGUUCUUUGGAAUAGGACAUCAUAGAGGGUGAGAAUCCCGUAUUUGGUCAUUCCUCCUAGCGUUGUGAUACACUUUCAACGAGUCGGAUUGUUUGGGAAUGCAGUCCAAAAUGGGUGGUAAAUUUCAUCUAAAGCUAAAUAUUGGCGAGAGACCGAUAGCGAACAAGUACCGUGAGGGAAAGAUGAAAAGAACUUUGAAAAGAGAGUUAAACAGUACGUGAAAUUGUCAAAAGGGAAGCGUUUGACACCAGUGUUGUUUUUUCCGAAAAUCAAUUACGAAUGUUUUAUUUUUGAGGAGUUAUGACUUCAUCGGCUUGCUCCUUUCUUUAUGAAACUUUCUUAAUGCACUUUUCGGUUAACAAGUCAACAUCAAUUUCUUUUGUUGUAAAAGGGUAUGAGGAAGGUGGCUUUCUUUUCGGAGAAAGUGUUUAUAGCCUUGUGCCUCUGCAAUCGGAGAGAUUGAGGUCUGCAGCGUAGAUCCUUCGGGGUUAGAUACGUUUGUGCUAAGUUAUAGCUUUUCAUAGACAACUUGUUGACUAUGUUUAGUCUUGUAGCUUACUCGCUUACGCUAUUUUACCUACGCUUAGGAUGUUGACGAGACUGUCGAUCUC
Molecule: ribosomal RNA, 775 nt
Filed under: uncultured Neocallimastigales
Lineage: Eukaryota; Fungi; Neocallimastigomycota; Neocallimastigomycetes; Neocallimastigales
Description: partial large subunit ribosomal RNA
Rfam family: Eukaryotic large subunit ribosomal RNA
Source: RNAcentral